ACGAUUUGUGUGAUUUUCUUUUGUAAAAUAUAUAAUAGUUUCAGGGAAUAUUUGAAAGGUAUAAUUUGCUAUUUUAUUUCUGUUUUUUUCACUUUCUUUCAUUUUUCA
Long non-coding RNA from Haliotis rubra (blacklip abalone), 108 nucleotides. RefSeq lists it as uncharacterized. The transcript has 3 exons. NCBI's taxonomy places the organism in Eukaryota, Metazoa, Mollusca, Gastropoda, Lepetellida, Haliotidae. The record is from RefSeq and is a predicted model, not a curated record.